This 221-nucleotide long non-coding RNA is filed under the name Capsella grandiflora. Its description in RNAcentral is "long non-coding RNA (CGRA_LNC000337)". Lineage: Eukaryota; Viridiplantae; Streptophyta; Magnoliopsida; Brassicales; Brassicaceae. The record is from RNAcentral.
AGGACUUGUGACCUUGGUGAGAUCCGUCGAGGAGCAGUUGCUGAAAGAGGUUCUUAUGUUGCUAACAUCAACUAGUUCUUUCAUAUUACCAAUGCGAGUUAAGACUAAAUGAACUUUUGUUGUUUGGUACAUUUUUACACUUACUUGUUGUGAAUUCUCGUUAUGUGCAAUUGAAAUUAGCAAGAUCAGAUUGGUCAAAUUUUUUUUUCUCGUGAUUUACU